CAUAAAAUGAAUGGCCCGUUGUUCAUAUCCAUUGCCUGGUGGUUGUCAACAAUUUUGAACUACAUGCACUGAAGAGGAGUGUUUAUUUUUCAAAAACUUAUCAAUCAAAAGUGUUUGUUCUUACGGAAAAUUACGACAGUAUCACCAUUACUAUCCUGGCGUAUAUAAUUGUCUGAAAAGUCACCCAAAAAGUAAAACCGAAAAAUGUUCACACGGAAGGCUCUUGUAUUUUUACUUUUCGUAGCAUUAUUUGCUCUGACGAUUGAAUUCACAAAUGGUUUUGCCAUAGGUGGCAGACGGGGAUCAUUUUGCGUGUGUUGUUGUCAUCCUUGUCCGUGUGAUAAGAACCCCAUCAAAGACAUUUUCUUCAAGAAAUUAAAGUGAAGAUCGGCACGUUUGCGAUCCAUUUCUCGCAGCGGCAAUUGAAAAGAAAACAUUUUAAACUUAACUAGACAGUUUUACCAAAGUUUGAUAUUAUGGUGCGUGAUGCAUAAUGUGUGUGGGUUUUUUUAAUAUUAUCAUUCUUAGUUUUUUAGAAAGCUGAAAUACAAAUGCAAUACUUUGAAUAAAUUGAUAUGGACUCCUGA
Ostrea edulis (European flat oyster) is the source of this 587-nucleotide long non-coding RNA. RefSeq lists it as uncharacterized. The transcript has 2 exons. NCBI's taxonomy places the organism in Eukaryota, Metazoa, Mollusca, Bivalvia, Ostreida, Ostreidae. The record is from RefSeq and is a predicted model, not a curated record.